UCAACCUAUCGUUCCUGUAAGUUUUCUUGUAAUUGUCCUAUUUAUAGUUAAAUCCCCCCUCUCAUAAUAUUGUAAAGCGCUACGGAAUUUGUUGGCGCUAUAUAAAUGGCAAUAAUAAUAAUAUUAAUAUGGUCAUGUGGUGAAACUGAAUCCCCAUAUUCGUUUUUCUGAUUUUAAGUAGCCUUAUAAAAUGUAAAAUUUCCCUCACAUCUGGUGAAAAUGUGAAGAGUUGGGUACCUUAAAUUUAGUUUUUAAGAGGAAAGUAAAAGUAACAGCACAUAUGUUUUUAUUCCAUAUUGACCUCCGUACUGGUAAC
This is a non-coding RNA of Pelobates cultripes (western spadefoot toad), 316 nucleotides long. The record is from the annotation of a GenBank genome assembly. Lineage: Eukaryota; Metazoa; Chordata; Amphibia; Anura; Pelobatidae.